RNAcentral lists this ribosomal RNA (1218 nucleotides) under uncultured bacterium. RNAcentral describes it as "bacterial SSU rRNA". It matches the Rfam family "Bacterial small subunit ribosomal RNA", at positions 202 to 1437 of the family's 1533-position model. The record is from RNAcentral.
AAAGCGAUAAGUAGCGCUAUAGGAUGGGGCUGUAUCGUAUCAGCUAGUUGGUGGGGUAAGAGCCUACCAAGGCUAUGACGCGUAGCUGGUCUGAGAGGAUGAUCAGCCACACUGGAACUGAGACACGAUCCAGACUCCUACGGGAGGCAGCAGUGAGGAAUCUUGCGCAAUGGGGCAACCCUGACGCAGCAACGCCGCGUGGAGGAAGAAGGUCUUCGGAUUGUAAACUCCUUUUCUGAAGGAAGAAGGAUGACGGUACCUCAGGAAUAAGCGCCGGCUAACUCCGUGCCAGCAGCCGCGGUAAUACGGAGGGUGCAAGCGUUACUCGGAAUCACUGGUCGUAAAGCGCAUGCAGGCGGUUUAUUAAGUUGGAAGUGAAAUCCUAUGGCUUAACCAUAGAACUGCUUCCAAAACUGAUGAACUAGAGUCUGGGAGGGGAGAAUGGAAUUAGUAGUGUAGGGGUAAAAUCCGUAGAGAUUACUAGGAAUACCAAAAGCGAAGGCGAUUCUCUGGAACAGUACUGACGCUGAGAUGCGAAAGCGUGGGGAGCAAACAGGAUUAGAUACCCUGGUAGUCCACGCAGUAAACGAUGAAUGUUAGUCGUUGGAGUGCUAGACACUUCAGUGAUGCAGUUAACACAUUAAACAUUCCGCCUGGGGAGUACGGUCGCAAGAUUAAAACUCAAAGGAAUAGACGGGGGACCCGCACAAGUGGUGGAGCAUGUGGUUUAAUUCGAAGAUACGCGAAGAACCUUACCUAGCCUUGACAUAUAUCAGAACCUGCUAGAGAUAGCGGGGUGCCUUCGGGAGCUGAUAUACAGGUGCUGCACGGCUGUCGUCAGCUCGUGUCGUGAGAUGUUGGGUUAAGUCCCGCAACGAGCGCAACCCUCGUCACUAGUUACUAACGGUUAGGCCGAGGACUCUAGUGAGACUGCCUUCGCAAGGAGGAGGAAGGUGAGGACGACGUCAAGUCAUCAUGGCCCUUACGGCUAGGGCAACACACGUGCUACAAUGGGCAGGACAAUGAGAAGCGAUACCGUGAGGUGGAGCAAAUCUAUAAACCUGCUCUCAGUUCGGAUUGUAGUCUGCAACUCGACUACAUGAAGCUGGAAUCACUAGUAAUCGUAAAUCAGCUAUGUUACGGUGAAUACGUUCCCGGGUCUUGUACUCACCGCCCGUCACACCAUGGNAGUUGAUUUCACCCGAAUUNGGGGAAGCU